UGGGGGAUAUUGCACAAUGGGCGAAAGCCUGAUGCAGCGACGCCGCGUGGGGGAUGAAGGCCUUCGGGUUGUAAACUUCUUUUGCUCUGAACAAGGCGCACCAUGGGGUGUGUUGAGUGUAGGGGUUGAUUAGCGCCGGCUAACUACGUGCCAGCAGCCGCGGUAAUACGUAGGGCGCGAGCGUUGUCGGGAAUUAUUGGGCGUAAAGGGCUUGUAGGUGGCUGGUUGCGUCUGUCGUGAAAGCUCAUGGCUUAACUGUGGGUUUGCGGUGGGUACGGGCUGGCUUGAGUGCAGUAGGGGAGGCUGGAAUUCCUGGUGUAGCGGUGGAAUGCGCAGAUAUCAGGAGGAAUACCGGUGGCGAAGGCGGGUCUCUGGGCUGUUACUGACACUGAGGAGCGAAAGCAUGGGGAGCGAACAGG
This 419-nucleotide ribosomal RNA is filed under the name bacterium. Its description in RNAcentral is "partial 16S ribosomal RNA". It matches the Rfam family "Bacterial small subunit ribosomal RNA", at positions 355 to 776 of the family's 1533-position model. The record is from RNAcentral.